This 719-nucleotide ribosomal RNA is filed under the name Octanapis octocula. RNAcentral's name for it is "SSU rRNA". It matches the Rfam family "Eukaryotic small subunit ribosomal RNA", at positions 407 to 1130 of the family's 1831-position model. The record is from RNAcentral. Lineage: Eukaryota; Metazoa; Arthropoda; Arachnida; Araneae; Anapidae.
CUACCACAUCCAAGGAAGGCAGCAGGCGCGCAAAUUACCCACUCCCGGCACGGGGAGGUAGUGACGAAAAAUAACAAUACGGGACUCUUACGAGACCCCGUAAUUGGAAUGAGUACACUCUAAAUCCUUCCACGAGGAUCCAUUGGAGGGCAAGCCUGGUGCCAGCAGCUGCGGUAAUUCCAGUUCCAAUAGCGUAUAUUAAAGUUGUUGCGGUUAAAAAGCUCGUAGUUGGAUCUCAGUUCCAGGCGGGCGGUCCGCCUAACGGCGGCCACCGUCCGUUCUGAACAGCCAGCCGGCUUCCCUCGAUGAUCUUCACCGGUUGUCCCGGGUGGCCGGCACGUUUACUUUGAAAAAAUUAGAGUGCUCAGAGCAGGCGCGACGCCUGGAUAAUGGUGCAUGGAAUAAUGGAAUAGGACCUCGGUUCUGUUUUGUUGGUUUUCGGAGCGAGAGGUAAUGAUUAAGAGGGACAGACGGGGGCAUUCGUAUUGCUGCGCUAGAGGUGAAAUUCUUGGACCGCAGCAAGACGAACAGCAGCGAAAGCAUUUGCCAAGAAUGUUUCCAUUAAUCAAGAACGAAAGUUAGAGGUUCGAAGGCGAUCAGAUACCGCCCUAGUUCUAACCAUAAACGAUGCCAGCCAGCGAUCCGGCUGCGUUCCUCAAAUGACGCGCCGGGCAGCUUCCGGGAAACCAAAGCCUUUGGGUUCCGGGGGAAGUAUGGUU